CUGAUUGAUCUGAAUCGACUCGGAGUGCCACUGCUUGAUGGUUUUCAGGUUUUGCUGUAUUGCGAAAUGUCAUGUCUCUUGCUAUGAAUCCCUUUCCAGACACGGCUGCAAAGUGGAACAGUAUGUAAAAGGUAUUGUUGGUUAAUUUGGGACGAAGUUGAGCUUAAUCAAGCAUUGAAUUAGAUUUAAUUGAAGUGUGAUUACAGUUUUAUUAGUUUAGUUUUAUUCAAAUUAUAUCUGUUCAUGCUUAAAUUUUUAAAAACAGAGUUAUAAUCUCAAUCUAUAAGUUAAUUAGAGAAGCAUGAUACGAAGGACUUACCAACAGUUGCAGUUCGAAAAGUUGUCCAUCCUUGCAUGAAAUUUCGAUUUCCAGUCACCACAGUCUCUCCAAUUCCAUCUCCAACAAGCAUAAUAUUAGUUUUCUUUCUCUUCAUAUCUAUGUUUUCUCUAUAAACACCCUUCUUCACAUAUAUAAUAUACCUUCUGUUACUGUAGCUUGGAGCUUCGCUAAUUGCUUCUGUGAUUGUUUGAUAAUUGCCCGUUCCAUCUAACGCCACAAUUGCAUCUACGUGCAUGCGAAGAGGACUGGCAUUGAGAAGCUCUUGAUCACCAUCAGUGAUCCAAUUCGGAAGGUCCAUGUCUUCUGAUUCUGAGCUAUUCUCAAGGUUUGUAAACGGAUGAUUAGAAGUAAUAUUUCUAGGAGGCUUAAAAGGUAAGCUAUGAAGUUGAGUGUAGAGAGCCAAGACAUUAGCAAUGAGUUGAUUGACUUGUUCAAGACUUCCCUUAAUAAAAUUCUCUAAAUGUCUAUCUGUACCUUCAAAUCCUUCGAGGCAAGUGUCUUGAUUGCUCAAUGCAGCGCUUAACCAAGUUUUCAAAUUCCCUUCAUAAUGAACAUUCUUAUCACCAGCUCUAAUCUUCUUCAUCUCUGUUAAAGACCAGGCCAAUUCAGACACUGAGAAAUCUAGGAGUUCCUUGCAAUCUUCAAUAGCGAGCUGCUCACGGUAGCUGACAGACAAAGUAUUGAACUUUGUGAUCAUUUGAAUGGCAUCUUUUGCUUCUUUAAGUGUUGCUUUUAUUGUUGCAGUGAGAAUUGAAGUGGGGUUUAGAUCGGAAGUUGAUUCUAGUUCGUUGUGUAUGUUUGAGAUGCACGAAGCUUGGUUUUCAAUGUUGCUACAAGCUUGUAGAAUCAUUUUUUCAAUGGUUAAAUCUCCGAUGGAUAAAGAGGUUUCGUUGGAGAAAGCUUGAAGUGAUGGUAGAAGGAAGAGAAGGAAAAGAGGACUGGUUAAGGCCAUGUUUGGGGCCAUAUCGAUGAGAAGAACAAAGGCAAGAUGUUUAUUUAAUUUCUAUGUGAAAUUAAAAGAGAAAUUUUAUAUGCAAGGGAACAUAGGGUUCGUUUGUUCAGAAAGAAAUGUAUUACCUUUUGAGCUAUCCAAACACUUUAUUUUUAUGCUUUUUCCCAAGACAAAGUUAUGCUUUCUUUUGGGUUCAUGGAUUUAGAAUUCCUUGUUUGGGAAUUCUUGAUUUCUUUAACAUUUUCUGUUGAUUCCCUUUUGUUUAUUGCCUAAAGCUUUAUUGGGUUAAAUUCUAACAUCAAAAUUCUUGUUUGGGAGUUCUUGAUUCUGUAAACUAACAUCAAUAUUAGUUUUAUUGGGUUAAAUUCUACAUAGAUGAAAAGUAAUCAAGGCUGAAAAAGUUGUCGGAUCAGGCUCUCUCAUCUCAUAAUACGCAGAGUGCGUAAAAGCCUCACCCCCAUUUCACUAAGAAGAGAAUAUAAGGAUCAAAACUUGCUUCCCUUAUUGGCAAAAUUCUCUUUCAAUGUGAAUUUUCACAAGAAACAAAGUUGGCCGAAAAAAAAAAAAAAAGAUGCCUUUCCUUGCUAAAACUAGGGGAAGAUUGGGUAAGGUAGCUCCUGAUUCUUUAACCAGGCCACCUAAUAACCAUAUUGGUACAUCCUUGGCGUAUAGUGUCCCUCAUGCUUUAACUUACAUGACUAAAUUCGAGGAUAUGUCAUGCUCAGUUGCAUAUAUAGGCAGAAUUAAGCAGAUUGUACAAAAAAUGCUGUAACCAUCAGAAGCCAUAAAAGCAUAUGAUAAAACACUGACAUAUGAUAGAAAAAACAACCACUGCUCUUUGAACAUAAUUAUAUAAAACAUGAGAUAGACAGUCUGGGCUGUUUUUCACUAUAAACUUAUCCGAGGAGGUAAUGUAUGUGCGAAACAGGCUUUGGCCAUGUUUUAAAAUUCUCAAAUGCACUUUGGAGCACACAUCUUAAUCCCAUCUAAUCUUGCAACCCCUGAUCUGCAGGGUUUCAAGUAUAUCUGGG
This 2323-nucleotide long non-coding RNA is filed under the name Carica papaya (papaya). RNAcentral's name for it is "long non-coding RNA (CPAP_LNC008827)". The record is from RNAcentral. Lineage: Eukaryota; Viridiplantae; Streptophyta; Magnoliopsida; Brassicales; Caricaceae.